AACCGAAGCCUCUGGAACCUAUGUCCUCCCUCUGUCCGUCUCGCCCCAGAAUCUUCCCUGCGUCCUCCUCGCCCCCUCCCUCCUGCAGAUAUUUCUCUUACCACCUGGGCAGCUGGGCAGUUGCCCCACCGUUUUGAGCAAAGUGGAGCUAUGAAGCCAGAAACCUACAAGGAUGUCCUGCUGGAGCUUGGCUUCAACCGGACUUUAACAGUUUCAUGAAAUGACCAUGAUAGACGCAGUCUGCAUCAGGAGCUGCUGAUCAACCACUGAAGUUAACCUUCAACGCAACGAUGCGGCUGUUACAGUCAAACAGCAACUCCUCAAAGGAAGAGAAAUGUCAUU
Long non-coding RNA from Prionailurus viverrinus (fishing cat), 342 nucleotides. RefSeq lists it as uncharacterized. The record is from RefSeq and is a predicted model, not a curated record. Lineage: Eukaryota; Metazoa; Chordata; Mammalia; Carnivora; Felidae. The transcript has 3 exons.